RNAcentral lists this unclassified non-coding RNA (202 nucleotides) under Hevea brasiliensis (rubber tree). Lineage: Eukaryota; Viridiplantae; Streptophyta; Magnoliopsida; Malpighiales; Euphorbiaceae. The record is from RNAcentral.
GGAGUACACACGGCAUCUCCUGGCAUGGUUUUGACAGAUCUCCUUCUUAGUGGUUCAACUGUGAGAAACAAACAGAUGUUCAAUAUCAUUUGUGAGCUUCCUGAAACAGUUGCUAGGACAUUAGUUCCUCGGAUGCGAGUCGUGAAAGGAACUGGAAAAGCCAUAAACUACUUAACUCCUCCAAGAAUCUUAUUAGCUCUGG